UCAAAGCCUUUUUGAAUUCAACUCUUGUU
RNAcentral lists this non-coding RNA (29 nucleotides) under Rattus norvegicus (Norway rat). Lineage: Eukaryota; Metazoa; Chordata; Mammalia; Rodentia; Muridae. The record is from RNAcentral.